This is a non-coding RNA of Coregonus clupeaformis (lake whitefish), 351 nucleotides long. Lineage: Eukaryota; Metazoa; Chordata; Actinopteri; Salmoniformes; Salmonidae. The record is from the annotation of a RefSeq genome assembly.
AUGUUCCCUGCAUCUCUGCUGUUGCUGCUGGCAGCUGCAUCCUGUGUGUUCUGUCAGACUGAGCUCACACAGCCAGGCUCUAUGACCCUGCAGCCUGGACAGCCUCUGACCCUCUCCUGUAAGGUCUCUGGGUAUUCAGUAACCAGCACCUACUGUACAGCUUGGAUUCGACAGUCUGCAGGAAAAGCACUGGAGUGGAUUGGCGUAAUUUGUUACGAUGAAAGCACAGCUUAUAAAGAUUCACUGAAACACAAGUUCAGCAUCACCAGAGACAUUUCCAGCAACACGUUGUUUUUAACAGGACAGAGUCUGCAGACUGAAGACACAGCUGUGUAUUAUUGUGCUCGAUGA